RNAcentral lists this ribosomal RNA (253 nucleotides) under uncultured bacterium. Its description in RNAcentral is "partial 16S ribosomal RNA". It matches the Rfam family "Bacterial small subunit ribosomal RNA", at positions 524 to 776 of the family's 1533-position model. The record is from RNAcentral.
UACAGAGGGUGCAAGCGUUGUUCGGAAUUAUUGGGCGUAAAGCGCGUGUAGGCGGCUUUGCAAGUCGGGUGUGAAAGCCCUCGGCUCAACCGAGGAAGUGCGCCCGAAACUGCAGAGCUUGAGUACCGGAGAGGAUGGCGGAAUUCCCCAAGUAGAGGUGAAAUUCGUAGAUAUGGGGAGGAACACCGGUGGCGAAGGCGGCCAUCUGGACAAUGACUGACGCUGAAACGCGAAAGCGUGGGGAGCAAACAGG